Molecule: ribosomal RNA, 376 nt
Filed under: uncultured bacterium
Lineage: Bacteria
Description: bacterial SSU rRNA
Rfam family: Bacterial small subunit ribosomal RNA
Source: RNAcentral
UACGGAGGGUGCGAGCGUUAAUCGGAAUCACUGGGCGUAAAGCGCACGUAGGCGGUGGAGUAAGUCAGCUGUGAAAGCCCUGGGCUUAACCUGGGAAUGGCAGUUGAGACUGCUUGACUGGAGUCUGAGAGAGGGAGGUGGAAUUCCAGGUGUAGCGGUGAAAUGCGUAGAGAUCUGGAGGAACACCGGUGGCGAAGGCGGCCUCCUGGCUCAAGACUGACGCUGAGGUGCGAAGGCGUGGGGAGCAAACAGGAUUAGAUACCCUGGUAGUCCACGCGGUAAACGAUGUCGACUAGCCGUGGGGUCCAAUUAAGGAUUUCGUGGCGCAGCCAACGCGAUAAGUCGACCGCCUGGGGAGUACGGCCGCAAGGUUAAA